GUCAAUUAACAAAUAUUCAACACUAAAGAUAUGAUUAGCUCAAUAAUUUUAGCACACUACUUUGUCAGUUUUCAGUUAUUUUAGUUGAUAACGACAAUUUUUGUUUUAAAAUUAAUAAGAUCUAAUUAAUUUAGAGGGUUUCAUAAGUUCGAUUUAUUUCCACCAGGUCCAAAUGUUAUUUCUUGCGAUCACCAGCAAAGCAAACGCAAAAGCAAAUUGAAAAGCCAGAGUGGGGCUAAUAAGAGGUCAUAGGCUCCAACGUGAUCGAUCGUGUUUAUAUAAAUGUAAUAUAAAAUAUCAUUUAUGAUCCGUAGAUACCAGUUUGUGGAGUUUCUCGGCAAAUAUUUAAGCUACCAAAGGUCGCGCCUGCCUACGAAAUUGGUUCUGCAUUAACCUUGUCGCGUUGAUAAAUAAGCCGAAAUAAACAAAAAUAAUAACAAAUUAAAUAACAGACGGUAAAAACGCUAAUGUUAACGAACUUUAUAAACUUAAAGGCAAGGUUGCAAGCAAAAAAGCUUCAAAAUUAUGCGAGACGUAAAAAAGCAAACUUUAAUGUGAGAGAUACUACACAGUAUAUAUGUACGUAGUAUAAACUCGCCGAGCGUUAAAAAUAAAAUAUCAGACACGCAACAGCGACGGCUGCCAACAGUGUUUUCUAUAGAAAACGAAAAUUAUUUCCUGUUUUCAGCAAUAACAACAAUCGCGGUGGUGAGGUGGAAUAUAUAUCGCCCUGCAGGCGGAGAUAACAGAGUUGGGGGUGUCUAACAUGCUGUGGUGAAUCCGAAAGUACGGCUACAGAAUCGCAUUUGGCCAUUGCAGUUUGUUUACCAUCAGUUUUUAGCCACAAGCCCCAUACCAUAUAAAGCAUACCCCAUAGCAAUACCACUUGGAUUUGAAAACGACGCAGUUGCGGGAGAAACCGAGACGGAGAUACAAAGGGGCUCCAAACAAUGCGUAAAAGAGGUGAUUGAUAACAAGUGUAUGCAUAUACGCUAGCAAUUGGAGCUACAAAUACAGGGUGAAUGUGUUUUGUGCACACAGAUGCACUUUUUGUAAACAUGUGGGCAUACGUACAAGGUUGUGAAAGAAGAAGUGCAUUGAACAGGCCAAGAAGAAGAAUAAGCGAAAAAGGACAACGAGUCGCUCACACAUGCAUUUCGAAACGGUUAGAAAGAGGGGCAGCCAAGCUUCAUGUAUUUUUGGCACACACUUGCCCCCCUGUCACUCCCUCUCCUUCUCGCCUUCGAUUAUCCCAUUUUGCUUUGGUGCAUUCAACCUGCUGGGGAGCGAGACAGGUGCAUUUACAGUUCUUCGAGAUCAACAGCUGUGUGAGUGAUGGCGAUUCGGCCGAGAAAGGGAGAGAGGAUACUUUUAUGGAAAGGGGAAAGGGGUGCGAAAGGAGCUCCGAUUCACCAAUUUACCACCACCGAAUAGUACUAAGAAAUCGCCGGAGUUGUCGUCAUCCAAGGAAUGAUUAACAAAAACAGUUGAUUGAACUUUGUUUGGCCUCCACACAUCCCACUGCGAAUGUUUGUGCUUGUGUGUACUUGAAAUGCCCCACUUUGCGGUGUGGGGCUAAUAAUUUCGGGUGUUAAUGACCAGAGCACUGACUUUGAACGCUGCAAUCACACGAGUCCGGCAAUUGUAUUUUAAAGAUUGAUGGGAUAUGCUGUUGGGGCCAGGAAAUUCCAGUUGCGAUUUGGAAUCCCCUUUCGGUUAUAGGAAAAAUCCACAUCAUCCUGGCAUCGAGUUCUGAGCAGUUGUUGAACUUUUUCUUCUUAAUCUUUGCUGUUUUAGAUCCUGCUAAAAAUGUAUGUUAAUUUUGUAAGAUUUUGUUGAAAAUUACUGGUUCUGGAAUUCAAAUCGUAGAA
Drosophila gunungcola (fruit fly) is the source of this 1871-nucleotide long non-coding RNA. RefSeq lists it as uncharacterized. NCBI's taxonomy places the organism in Eukaryota, Metazoa, Arthropoda, Insecta, Diptera, Drosophilidae. The record is from RefSeq and is a predicted model, not a curated record. The transcript has 3 exons.